GACGAACGCUGGCGGCGUGCUUAACACAUGCAAGUCGAACGGAAAGGCCCUGCUUUUGUGGGGUGCUCGAGUGGCGAACGGGUGAGUAACACGUGAGUAACCUGCCCUUGACUUUGGGAUAACUUCAGGAAACUGGGGCUAAUACCGGAUAGGAGCUCCUGCUGCAUGGUGGGGGUUGGAAAGUUUCGGCGGUUGGGGAUGGACUCGCGGCUUAUCAGCUUGUUGGUGGGGUAGUGGCUUACCAAGGCUUUGACGGGUAGCCGGCCUGAGAGGGUGACCGGCCACAUUGGGACUGAGGUACGGCCCCGACUCCUACGGGAGGCAGCAGUGGGGAAUAUUGCACAAUGGGCGGAAGCCUGAUGCAGCAACGCCGCGGGCGGGAUGACGGCCUUCGGGUUGUAAACCGCUUUCGCCUGGGACGAAGCGUGAGGGACGGUAAUGGGUAAAGAAGAACCGGCUAACUACGUG
This 468-nucleotide ribosomal RNA is filed under the name uncultured bacterium. RNAcentral describes it as "partial 16S ribosomal RNA". It matches the Rfam family "Bacterial small subunit ribosomal RNA", at positions 28 to 507 of the family's 1533-position model. The record is from RNAcentral.